Molecule: long non-coding RNA, 636 nt
Organism: Leopardus geoffroyi (Geoffroy's cat)
Lineage: Eukaryota; Metazoa; Chordata; Mammalia; Carnivora; Felidae
Exons: 2
Source: RefSeq, a predicted model, not a curated record
GCUUGUUGCCACCACGGGCGUCCUGGCUCUGUGCACUUUGCAACACCUGUGCCCAUGUUACCAGCAGGCUUGAAAGAGUAGCCAGAACUUGCCCAGUCACAGCACGGUUCCCCAGUUCCUACUUUUGCAGCGAUGCCUUGGAAGAUUGUCUUGAUGUGGGGCCUGUGGAAAGGAACCGUGUAGUUUAGCUACUGAAAAGACAGGGGUUGAGAUCUCAAGAUACUCAAGGACUAUCCCCCCACCCCCAAUUUUGUUCAAAUGGAGAGGUUGAAUGGGAGGUGGAAAAAAGUAACGAAUGUGCCAGAAGUGCCGAGGGAAACCUGUCAGAGGCUGCGGGCUCUGUGAUUAGAGCAGACAGACGGACAGACAGAAAGGCCAGAGGAUGCAUCAAAGCAUCAGGAGAAAUUUCUUCUGCACAAUCAAAAGAAGCUGUGGUUCCAAACAGCGGGCCACAGGGAUGUUCCUGUAGAGAGCCCUUCUCCCAGCCCGGGCCUCCCUUGUGCCAAAGUGGGGCACCUUCGAUACUCACCAGGCUUCUUUGUCCCCUCCUGGCAUAAGUGAGGGGCCAUAGCGGGCCCCUUCCUCUCCGCCACUGACUCCGCUCCCCACAAACAGGAUUCCCUUGGCCUUGAGGGU